AGCGUACUCCCUCCAUCCGAAAAUAAUUGUCACAAAAAUGGAUAAAAAUGGAUGUAUCUGGAACUAAAAUAUGUCUAGAUACAUUCAUUUCUCCGACGAGUAUUUCCGGACGGAGGGAGUACAUG
Triticum aestivum (bread wheat) is the source of this 125-nucleotide non-coding RNA. Lineage: Eukaryota; Viridiplantae; Streptophyta; Magnoliopsida; Poales; Poaceae. The record is from Rfam.